CAGCCGUAAACUAUGCUCGCUAGGUGUCAGGGACGGUGCGACCGUUUCUGGUGCCGCAGGGAAGCCGUGAAGCGAGCCACCUGGGAAGUACGGUCGCAAGGCUGAAACUUAAAGGAAUUGGCGGGGGAGCACCACAACGGGUGGAGCUUGCGGUUUAAUUGGAUUCAACGCCGGAAAUCUUACCGGGACCGACAGCAACAUGAAGGCCAGGCUGAAGACUUUGCCGGAUUAGCUGAGAGGUGGUGCAUGGCGUAGUCGUGU
This 261-nucleotide ribosomal RNA is filed under the name uncultured archaeon. RNAcentral's name for it is "partial 16S ribosomal RNA". It matches the Rfam family "Archaeal small subunit ribosomal RNA", at positions 748 to 1009 of the family's 1478-position model. The record is from RNAcentral.